RNAcentral lists this ribosomal RNA (496 nucleotides) under uncultured bacterium. RNAcentral describes it as "bacterial SSU rRNA". It matches the Rfam family "Bacterial small subunit ribosomal RNA", at positions 10 to 507 of the family's 1533-position model. The record is from RNAcentral.
AGUUGAUCAUGGCUCAGAUUGAACGCUGGCGGAAUGCUUUACACAUGCAAGUCGAACGGUAGAGGGGGCAACCCUCGAGAGUGGCGAACGGGUGAGUAAUAUAUCGGAACGUGCCCAGUCGUGGGGGAUAACGCAGCGAAAGCUGUGCUAAUACCGCAUACGAUCUAUGGAUGAAAGCGGGGGACCGUAAGGCCUCGCGCGAUUGGAGCGGCCGAUGUCAGAUUAGCUAGUUGGUGGGGUAAAGGCCCACCAAGGCGACGAUCUGUAGCUGGUCUGAGAGGACGACCAGCCACACUGGAACUGAGACACGGUCCAGACUCCUACGGGAGGCAGCAGUGGGGAAUUUUGGACAAUGGGCGCAAGCCUGAUCCAGCAAUGCCGCGUGCAGGAAGAAGGCCUUCGGGUUGUAAACUGCUUUUGUACGGAACGAAACGGUCUGGGCUAAUACCCCGGGCUAAUGACGGUACCGUAAGAAUAAGCACCGGCUAACUACGUG